RNAcentral lists this ribosomal RNA (428 nucleotides) under uncultured bacterium. RNAcentral's name for it is "bacterial SSU rRNA". It matches the Rfam family "Bacterial small subunit ribosomal RNA", at positions 355 to 775 of the family's 1533-position model. The record is from RNAcentral.
UGGGGAAUCUUGCACAAUGAGCGAAAGCUUGAUGCAGCUAUGCCGCGUGUAUGAAGAAGGCCUUAGGGUUGUAAAGUACUUUCAGUAGAGAAGAAGGAGUAAAAGAUAAUACCUUUUAUUUUUGACGUUAUUUACAAAAGAAGCACCGGCUAACUCCGUGCCAGCAGCCGCGGUAAUACGGAGGGUGCUAGCGUUAAUCAGAAUUACUGGGCGUAAAGAGCACGUAGGUGGUUUUUUAAGUCAGAUGUGAAAUACCUAGGCUUAACCUAGGAACUGCAUUUGAAACUAAAAAACUAGAGUUUCAUAGAGGGAGGUAGAAUUCUAGGUGUAGCGGUGAAAUGCGUAGAUAUCUGGAGGAAUACCUGUGGCGAAAGCGGCCUCCUAAGUGAUAACUGACACUGAGGUGCGAAAGCAUGGGGAGCAAACAG